GCAAUUUAGGGAGUUGAGAGAGAGUUCAAGAGCUUGCAUUUAUAAGCUCUUGUUACAGUGAUUGAGAGAGUUUGGGUGUAUUGGGGUUUUGGGUAGUGAGCUAAAAUACUACAAUACUUGUAACUCCUUUUCACUAGUAAAAUAUUUCCUUCUGUCUUCGCCCGUGGAUGUAGGAUAAAAGCCGAACCACGUAAUUUCUGGUGUCC
RNAcentral lists this long non-coding RNA (206 nucleotides) under Citrus maxima (pomelo). RNAcentral describes it as "long non-coding RNA (CMAX_LNC000745)". Lineage: Eukaryota; Viridiplantae; Streptophyta; Magnoliopsida; Sapindales; Rutaceae. The record is from RNAcentral.